Molecule: ribosomal RNA, 484 nt
Filed under: uncultured bacterium
Lineage: Bacteria
Description: partial 16S ribosomal RNA
Rfam family: Bacterial small subunit ribosomal RNA
Source: RNAcentral
AUUGAACGCUGGCGGCAUGCUUUACACAUGCAAGUCGAACGUCAGCGCGGUCUUCUUCCUUUCGGCGAGUUUCGAACUGUUGUGUAAUACAUCUGAACGUCCCCCUUUUUUUUGGAUAGCUCGUCGUAAUCCGGAUUAAUACCGCCUACGACCUUAUGUUGAUGUCUUUUGUUCUUCGGUCCUCUCUCUUUUUUAUCUGCCGAUGGCUUAUUAGCUAGUUGGUGUGGUAAAGGCCUACCAAGGCGACGAUCUGUAGCUGGUCUGAGAUGACGACCAGCCACACGGGGAAUGAGACACGGACAAGACUCCUAUGGGAGGCAGCAGUGGGGAAUUUUGGACAAUGGGCGAAAGCAUGAUACAGCAAUGCCGAGUGUGUGAUGAAGGCCUUCGGGUUGUAAAGCACUUUUGGCGGGAACGAAAAGGACUGUGACAAUACAACGGUUCGAUGACGGUACCCGAAGAAUAAGCACCGGCUAACUACGUG